Molecule: unclassified non-coding RNA, 336 nt
Filed under: soil metagenome
Description: partial contains 5.8S ribosomal RNA, internal transcribed spacer 2, and large subunit ribosomal RNA
Rfam family: 5.8S ribosomal RNA (bases 1-120)
Source: RNAcentral
GAUGAAGAACGCAGCGAAAUGCGAUAAGUAAUGUGAAUUGCAGAAUUCAGUGAAUCAUCGAAUCUUUGAACGCACAUUGCGCCCGCCAGUAUUCUGGCGGGCAUGCCUGUUCGAGCGUCAUUUCAACCAUCAAGCCCCCGGCUUGUGUUGGGGCCCUGCGGCUGCCGCAGGCCCUGAAAAGCAGUGGCGGGCUCGCUGUCACACCGAGCGUAGUAGAUUUCAUCUCGCUCAGGGCGUGCUGCGGGUUCCGGCCGUUAAACCACCUUCAUAACCCAAGGUUGACCUCGGAUCAGGUAGGAAGACCCGCUGAACUUAAGCAUAUCAAUAAGCGGAGGA